RNAcentral lists this ribosomal RNA (116 nucleotides) under Pteropus alecto (black flying fox). The record is from RNAcentral. Lineage: Eukaryota; Metazoa; Chordata; Mammalia; Chiroptera; Pteropodidae.
AUCUAUGGCCAUGCCACCCUGAACAAGCCCAAUGUCUGAUCUUGGAAGCUAAGCAGGAUUGGGCCUAGUUAAUAUUUGAAUGGGAGACUACCUAGGAAGACCAGGUGCUGUAGGCA